This 65-nucleotide transfer RNA is filed under the name Dinophilus gyrociliatus. Its description in RNAcentral is "tRNA-Leu". It matches the Rfam family "tRNA". Rfam says of the family: Transfer RNA (tRNA) molecules are approximately 80 nucleotides in length. Their secondary structure includes four short double-helical elements and three loops (D, anti-codon, and T loops). Further hydrogen bonds mediate the characteristic L-shaped molecular structure. tRNAs have two regions of fundamental functional importance: the anti-codon, which is responsible for specific mRNA codon recognition, and the 3' end, to which the tRNAs corresponding amino acid is attached (by aminoacyl-tRNA synthetases). tRNAs cope with the degeneracy of the genetic code in two manners: having more than one tRNA (with a specific anti-codon) for a particular amino acid; and 'wobble' base-pairing, i.e. permitting non-standard base-pairing at the 3rd anti-codon position. Lineage: Eukaryota; Metazoa; Annelida; Polychaeta; Dinophilidae. The record is from RNAcentral.
AUAAAAGUAGCAAAACUAAUGCAUUAGGUUUAAGCCCUAAAGAUGAUUAUAUUAAUCCUUUUAUA